AAGCAGGAUAAGUUACAGUGCAGCUUGUUCAGUGCUGUUCUGUCGUUCCCCCUGCACACAUCAACUAGGUUUCCUACUAUCCCUGUCUGUCUGCAUUCCACGGCAGACAGGGACGCUUGGUCUCAGACAC
This 130-nucleotide small nucleolar RNA is filed under the name Oncorhynchus mykiss (rainbow trout). RNAcentral's name for it is "Small nucleolar RNA SNORA63". It matches the Rfam family "Small nucleolar RNA SNORA63". Rfam says of the family: E3 belongs to the H/ACA class of snoRNAs and is involved in the processing of eukaryotic pre-rRNA and has regions of complementarity to 18S rRNA. The record is from Rfam by way of RNAcentral. Lineage: Eukaryota; Metazoa; Chordata; Actinopteri; Salmoniformes; Salmonidae.